CCGGCACGGGUGAGUAACACGUAUGCAAUCCACCUGUAACAGGGGGAUAACCCGGAGAAAUCCGGACUAAUACCCCAUAAUAUGGGCGCUCCGCAUGGAGAGCCCAUUAAAGAGAGCAAUUUUGGUUACAGACGAGCAUGCGCUCCAUUAGCCAGUUGGCGGGGUAACGGCCCACCAAAGCGACGAUGGAUAGGGGUUCUGAGAGGAAGGUCCCCCACAUUGGAACUGAGACACGGUCAA
Molecule: ribosomal RNA, 240 nt
Filed under: uncultured bacterium
Lineage: Bacteria
Description: partial 16S ribosomal RNA
Rfam family: Bacterial small subunit ribosomal RNA
Source: RNAcentral